AACCUCCGCAAUGUGAGAAAUCGCGACGGGGGGAUCCCAAGUGCCAUUCUUAACGGGAUGGCUUUUCAUUAGUGUAAAGAGCUUUUGGAAUAAGAGCUGGGCAAGACCGGUGCCAGCCGCCGCGGUAACACCGGCAGCUCUAGUGGUAACAAUUUUUAUUGGGCCUAAAGCGUCCGUAGCCGGUUUAAUAAGUCUCUGGUGAAAUCCUGCAGCUUAACUGUGGGAAUUGCUGGAGAUACUAUUAGACUUGAGACCGGGAGAGGUUAGAGGUACUCCCAGGGUAGAGGUGAAAUUCUGUAAUCCUGGGGAGGCCGCCUGUUGCGAAGGCGUCUAACUGGAACGGUUCUGACGGUGAGGGACGAAAGUUAGGGGCGCGAACCGGAUUAGAUACCCGGGUAGUCCUAACUGUAAACGAUGCGGACUUGGUGUUGGGGUGGCUUUGAGCCGCUUCAGUGCCGAAGGGAAGCUGUUAAGUCCGCCGCCUGGGAAGUACGGUCGCAAGACUGAAACUUAAGGAAUU
RNAcentral lists this ribosomal RNA (520 nucleotides) under uncultured bacterium. Its description in RNAcentral is "bacterial SSU rRNA". It matches the Rfam family "Archaeal small subunit ribosomal RNA", at positions 345 to 866 of the family's 1478-position model. The record is from RNAcentral.